This 206-nucleotide long non-coding RNA is filed under the name Elaeis guineensis (African oil palm). RNAcentral describes it as "long non-coding RNA (EGUI_LNC068948)". Lineage: Eukaryota; Viridiplantae; Streptophyta; Magnoliopsida; Arecales; Arecaceae. The record is from RNAcentral.
UUUGAUCACUUGUCUAGGAUAAUUGGAUUUUGCCAUGGAUGGUGAACUAAGUCAGAAAUUGAUCUUGCAGCCUUUCUCUGACUCUUUUUUUUAGUUUGUUAUUAAUUAUCAUAUGAACAAAGUAAACAUAAGCUUGUCUGAACUACUGAAUAUAUUGAAAACAGCAGAGAGCCAUUUCAAGGGUGAAAAAGCUCAGGUCCUUCAUG